Non-coding RNA from Danionella cerebrum, 82 nucleotides. Lineage: Eukaryota; Metazoa; Chordata; Actinopteri; Cypriniformes; Danionidae. The record is from the annotation of a GenBank genome assembly.
GUUGUUGUGGCUGAGUGGUUAAGGCGAUAGACUCCAAAUUCAUUGGGGUUUUCUUGUGCACGUUCAAAUCCUGCCAAUAACA